This is a long non-coding RNA of Pogoniulus pusillus (Red-fronted tinkerbird), 2081 nucleotides long. RefSeq lists it as uncharacterized. The record is from RefSeq and is a predicted model, not a curated record. NCBI's taxonomy places the organism in Eukaryota, Metazoa, Chordata, Aves, Piciformes, Lybiidae. The transcript has 4 exons.
AGUAAACCAGGCAUUAAGAUGCUGAGUUGCUGGAGCAUGUCCAGAGAAGAGCAAUGAAGCUGGUGAAGGGCCUGGAGUAUUGCUUAUGCAAUUGUUUACAAGAGGUGGAGCAUUAACAAGACUGGGAAUCGUAGAAUCAGAGAAUCAACCAGGUCAGAAGAGACCUCCAAGAUCAUCCAAGACUUCUCACACCCUUCUGUUUCCUCUCUACUACUUAUGCUCUAUUUCACAGAUGAGAAACAGAAGUGCAAUAACAACAACAAAAAAAAGCUGCCCAAGAACAUAAAACCAAUCAUCUGGCCAAGCUUUCCGCUUCUGACAUGUGAGAAAGAAGAGUGGCAGCUCUCCAGCUCAAAGGGCCAACCAGAUCAUGGUCUGCAUCAGGAAAAGUGUGGCCAGAAGGAUGAGGGAGGUGAUUCUGCCCCUCUACUCUGCUCUGCUGAGACCCCACCAGGAGUACUGCAUCCAGUUCUGGAGCCCCCAUUACAAGAAGGCUGUGGAUGUGCUGGAUCGUGUCCAGAGAAGGGACACUGGGUUGACCAGAAGGCUGGAGAAGCUCUGCUAUGAGGAGUCUGAAAGAAUUGGGGCUGUCUGAAGAAGAAAAGGCUCUGAGAUGACCUUCUUGUGACCUUCCAGGAUCUGAAGAGGACCUACAAAAAAGCCAGGGAGGGACUUUUUAGGCUAUCAGGGAGUGACAGGACUGGGGGGAAUGGAGAGGAGCUUGACAAGGGUAGGUUCAGGCUGGACAUGAGAAGGAAGUUGUUGAGCAUGAGAGUGGUGAGAGGCUGGAAUGGGUUGCCCAGGGAGGUGGUUAAGACCCUGUCCCUGGAGGUGUUUAAGGCCAGGCUGGCUGAGGCCGUGGCCAGUCUGAUCUAGGGCAGAGUGUCCCUGUCCAUGGAAGGGGGGUUGGAAAUAGAUGCUCCUUGUGGUUCCUUCCAAUCCUGACUGAUUCUAUGAGUCUAUGAUUCUAUGAUUUUAUGAUUCUGAGUAUCUCUUGUUAAUCAUAACAGCUUACUUAGUGGCCAUUACUGUAUGUUUCUAUUCCUUUAUCCCCUAUGCACAUUUAUCAACAUCAACGUUCAUUUGCUCAGUGUCUUUUAAUUGAUUGGUACUCUGAAAUCUGCUGCAACUCUUAACAAUCACUUUUCAUCAUUAUUAUUUUGAAGACUUUUGUAUCAGCAGAACACUUAGUCACCUCAUUAUUCACUUCCUUUUCUAGAUCAUUUAUGCCGAGCAGUAGAUGUUUCAGUGGAGCUCCCUAAGGGACUCUGCUGUUAAACCUCUACUUUUGUCGAAGCUGAUCGCUUAAUCCUACUAUUUAAGCCACCUAUUAAUUCAUGGGAAGACCUCCCAUCUAGUCCCAUGACAGCUGAUUUUCCCAUGAGUCAAGAUUUUAUCCUAGGCCAUUUAGUUUUAAUUUUUUACAGCUGCUGUAGAAAAGCAAUUUACCACCUGAUAGCAAAAUUAUAUGUAUUAUAAUAUUCAUGCACAAAUAAAAUGCAAGAACUGCUCUCUAAAGAGAAAGCCCCUCAGCUACCAACACCAGAAGCACAUUUAUAGUGCAGUCUGGUGAAAUUUAACAUCUUAAAGUAUGUGGCAAAAUGGACUUUACGAAGUAUCUGAAGGGGACCUACAGGAUGGCUGGGGAGGGAUUAUUUACAAGGUCUUGUAAUGACAGGAGGAGGGGUAAUGGGUUUAAACUGGCAGAGGGGACACAGUCUCAAGUUGUGCCGGAGUAGGUCUAGGCUGGAUGUUAGGAGGAAGUUCUUCACAGAGAGAGUGAUUGGCAUUGGAAUGGGCUGCCCAGGGAGGUGGUGGAGUCACCAUCCUUGGAGCUGUUCAAGAAAAGACUGGAUGAGGCACUUAGUGCCAUGGUCUGGUUGAUUGCCUAGGGCUGGGUGCUAGGUUGGACUGGAUGAUCUUGGAGGUCUCUUCCAACCUGGUUGAUUCUAUGAUUCUAUGACAAACACAUAAAAACUACACCAAACUCAAGAUGCAGUGUAUAAAAUUAAACUAGUGAAAAGAUCAUCCUGUGAUUCACAAGUUACAGAUAUUUGUAUGUUUUAAUCCAGGAUUUGCAA